This 478-nucleotide ribosomal RNA is filed under the name uncultured Verrucomicrobiaceae bacterium. RNAcentral's name for it is "bacterial SSU rRNA". It matches the Rfam family "Bacterial small subunit ribosomal RNA", at positions 29 to 505 of the family's 1533-position model. Lineage: Bacteria; Pseudomonadati; Verrucomicrobiota; Verrucomicrobiia; Verrucomicrobiales; Verrucomicrobiaceae. The record is from RNAcentral.
AACGAACGCUGGCGGCGUGGAUAAGACAUGCAAGUCGAACGGAAACUAGGAGCUUGCUCCGAAAUUUUAGUGGCGAACGGGUGAGUAACACGUGAGUAACCUGCCCUGAAGUGGGAGAUAGCCCGGGGAAACUCGGAUUAAUAUCCCAUGUGAUAGAAAUAUUAAAGGCGCUUUUAGCGUCGCUUCAGGAUGGGCUCGCGGCCUAUCAGCUAGUUGGUGAGGUAAAAGCUCACCAAGGCGACGACGGGUAACUGGUCUAAGAGGACGAUCAGUCACACUGGAACUGAGACACGGUCCAGACACCUACGGGUGGCAGCAGUCGAGAAUCAUUCGCAAUGGACGAAAGUCUGACGGUGCGACGCCGCGUGGAGGAUGACGGCCCUCGGGUUGUAAACUCCUGUCAUGAGGGAGUAAGACAUUUAGCAGGUAAUGGCUGAAUGUUCGAUAGUACCUCAAGAGGAAGGGACGGCUAACUUCG